AGUGAACGCUGGCGGUAGGCCUAACACAUGCAAGUCGAACGGCAGCACAGUAAGAGCUUGCUCUUACGGGUGGCGAGUGGCGGACGGGUGAGGAAUACAUCGGAAUCUACUUUUUCGUGGGGGAUAACGUAGGGAAACUUACGCUAAUACCGCAUACGACCUACGGGUGAAAGCAGGGGAUCUUCGGACCUUGCGCGAUUGAAGGAGCCGAUGUCGGAUUAGCUAGUUGGCGGGGUAAAGGCCCACCAGGGCGACGAUCCGUAGCUGGUCUGAGAGGAUGAUCAGCCACACUGGAACUGAGACACGGUCCAGACUCCUACGGGAGGCAGCAGUGGGGAAUAUUGGACAAUGGGCGCAAGCCUGAUCCAGCCAUACCGCGUGGGUGAAGAAGGCCUUCGGGUUGUAAAGCCCUUUUGUUGGGAAAGAAAAGCAGCAGGUUAAUACCCCGCUGUUCUGACGGUACCCAAAGAAUAAGCACCGGCUAACUUCGUG
Molecule: ribosomal RNA, 492 nt
Filed under: uncultured bacterium
Lineage: Bacteria
Description: partial 16S ribosomal RNA
Rfam family: Bacterial small subunit ribosomal RNA
Source: RNAcentral